Molecule: transfer RNA, 83 nt
Filed under: Myxococcales bacterium
Lineage: Bacteria; Pseudomonadati; Myxococcota; Myxococcia; Myxococcales
Also listed under: 1 other name
Description: tRNA-Leu
Rfam family: tRNA
About the family: Transfer RNA (tRNA) molecules are approximately 80 nucleotides in length. Their secondary structure includes four short double-helical elements and three loops (D, anti-codon, and T loops).
Source: RNAcentral
GCCAGAGUGGUGGAAUUGGUAGACACAGCGGACUCAAAAUCCGCCGAGGUUCCCUCUUGUCGGUUCGAGUCCGACCUCUGGCA